AUUGAACGCUGGCGGCAGGCCUAACACAUGCAAGUCGAGCGGAUGAAGGGAGCUUGCUCCUGGAUUCAGCGGCGGACGGGUGAGUAAUGCCUAGGAAUCUGCCUGGUAGUGGGGGAUAACGUCCGGAAACGGGCGCUAAUACCGCAUACGUCCUGAGGGAGAAAGUGAGGGAUCUUCGGACCUCACGCUAUCAGAUGAGCCUAGGUCGGAUUAGCUAGUUGGUGGGGUAAAGGCCUACCAAGGCGACGAUCCGUAACUGGUCUGAGAGGAUGAUCAGUCACACUGGAACUGAGACACGGUCCAGACUCCUACGGGAGGCAGCAGUGGGGAAUAUUGGACAAUGGGCGAAAACCUGAUCCAGCCAUGCCGCGUGUGUGAAGAAGGUCUUCGGAUUGUAAAGCACUUUAAGUUGGGAGGAAGGGCAGUAAGUUAAUACCUUGCUGUUUUGACGUUACCAACAGAAUAAGCACCGGCUAACUUCGUG
Molecule: ribosomal RNA, 484 nt
Filed under: uncultured bacterium
Lineage: Bacteria
Description: partial 16S ribosomal RNA
Rfam family: Bacterial small subunit ribosomal RNA
Source: RNAcentral